GACGAACGCUGGCGGCGCGCUUAACACAUGCAAGUCGAACGGAAAGGCCCUGCUUUUGUGGGGUGCUCGAGUGGCGAACGGGUGAGUAGCACGUGAGUAACCUGCCCUUGACUUUGGGAUAACUUCAGGAAACUGGGGCUAAUACCGGAUAGGAGCUCCUGCUGCAUGGUGGGGGUUGGAAAGUUUCGGCGGUUGGGGAUGGACUCGCGGCUUAUCAGCUUGUUGGUGGGGUAGUGGCUUACCAAGGCUUUGACGGGUAGCCGGCCUGAGAGGGUGACCGGCCACAUUGGGACUGAGAUACGGCCCAGACUCCUACGGGAGGCAGCAGUGGGGAAUAUUGCACAAUGGGCGGAAGCCUGAUGCAGCAACGCCGCGUGCGGGAUGACGGCCUUCGGGUUGUAAACCGCUUUCGCCUGUGACGAAGCGUGAGUGACGGUAAUGGGUAAAGAAGCACCGGCUAACUACGUG
RNAcentral lists this ribosomal RNA (468 nucleotides) under uncultured bacterium. Its description in RNAcentral is "partial 16S ribosomal RNA". It matches the Rfam family "Bacterial small subunit ribosomal RNA", at positions 28 to 507 of the family's 1533-position model. The record is from RNAcentral.